UAGUCCACGCUGUAAACGAUGUUUACUCGCUGUUGGCGAUACACAGUCAGCGGCUAAGCGAAAGCGUUAAGUAAACCACCUGGGGAGUACGAUCGCAAGGUUGAAACUCAAAGGAAUUGACGGGGGCCCGCACAAGCGGUGGAGCAUGUGGAUUAAUUCGAUGAUACGCGAGGAACCUUACCAAGGCUUAAAUGAUGUAGGACCGCUGCCGAAAGGUGGCUUUCUUUAUGACCGAUAUCAAGGUGCUGCAUGGCUGUCGUCAGCUCGUGCCGUGAGGUGUUGGGUUAAGUCCUAUAACGAGCGCAACCCCUGUUGUUAGUUGCCAGCGAGUAAUGUCGGGAACUCUAGCAAGACUGCCGGUGCAAACCACGAGGAAGGUGGGGAUGACGUCAAAUCAUCACGGCCCUUACGUCCUGGGCCACACACGUGCUACAAUGGUAGGUACAGAGAGCAGCCACGUCGCGAGGCGGAGCGAAUCUAUAAAACCUAUCUCAGUUCGGAUCGG
RNAcentral lists this ribosomal RNA (505 nucleotides) under uncultured bacterium. Its description in RNAcentral is "bacterial SSU rRNA". It matches the Rfam family "Bacterial small subunit ribosomal RNA", at positions 791 to 1301 of the family's 1533-position model. The record is from RNAcentral.